RNAcentral lists this ribosomal RNA (250 nucleotides) under uncultured bacterium. RNAcentral describes it as "partial 16S ribosomal RNA". It matches the Rfam family "Bacterial small subunit ribosomal RNA", at positions 353 to 616 of the family's 1533-position model. The record is from RNAcentral.
GGAUAAGAAUCUUCCGCAAUGGACGCAAGUCUGACGGAGCGACACCGCGUGAUCGAUGAAGAGCUUCGGUUUGUAAAGAUCUUUUAUGAGGGAAGAAGUAUAUUGACGGUACCUCAUGAAUAAGCACCUGCCAAACUCGUGCCAGCAGCAGCGGUAAUACGAGUGGUGCAAGCGUUAUCCGGAAUUAUUGGGCGUAAAGGAUGUGUAGGUGGCAAUGUUAGUCGAGUGUUUAACCCAUGGGCUCAACCUG